AUUGAACGCUGGCGGCAUGCCUUACACAUGCAAGUCGAACGGCAGCACGGGAGCAAUCCUGGUGGCGAGUGGCGAACGGGUGAGUAAAGUAUCGGAAAGUGACCAGUCGUGGGGGAUAACGUAGCGAAAGUUACGCUAAUACCGCAUACGAUCUAUGGAUGAAAGCGGGGGAUCGCAAGACCACGCGCGCAUGGAGCGCCCGAUCUCAGAUUAGGUAGUUGUUGGGGUAAAGGCUCACCAAGCCGACGAUCUGUAGCUGGUCUGAGAGGACGACCAGCCACACUGGGACUGAGACACGGCCCAGACUCCUACGGGAGGCAGCAGUGGGGAAUUUUGGACAAUGGGCGCAAGCCUGAUCCAGCCAUGCCGCGUGCAGGAUGAAGGCCUUCGGGUUGUAAACUGCUUUUGUACGGAACGAAAAGGUUUGACUUAAUACGUUGGACUCAUGACGGUACCGUAAGAAUAAGCACCGGCUAACUACGUGCCAGCCGCCGCGGUAA
RNAcentral lists this ribosomal RNA (500 nucleotides) under uncultured bacterium. RNAcentral describes it as "partial 16S ribosomal RNA". It matches the Rfam family "Bacterial small subunit ribosomal RNA", at positions 30 to 523 of the family's 1533-position model. The record is from RNAcentral.